Molecule: long non-coding RNA, 343 nt
Organism: Aplysia californica (California sea hare)
Lineage: Eukaryota; Metazoa; Mollusca; Gastropoda; Aplysiida; Aplysiidae
Exons: 2
Source: RefSeq, a predicted model, not a curated record
CUGUGGAAAAAUUUCCUGCCCUUCUAUCACUCCCGAACACCGUUUGUCCUCAACAUGCGAGCAACUUGGCUCAACACUGACUACCAGCGCACUGCCUUUCACAGGCUCAUCUAUUCCUUGCUAGAUAUGCCAGAGGUGUACAUAGUGACGAUGUCACAGAUGAUUGACUGGAUGCAAAACGCCACUUCUCUCCCCCACAUUUUGGAAUUCGAACCCUGGUCAUGUCCACAACGCCACCUUUACAACUCUGCAGAAAAGGGCUUUCCAAGCUGCCUGGACAUUUUGUUUACUUUGCUUCUUUUGUUAUUGUUGAAUAAAGGUUUGCACUAUUGACUGACUGAAA